CCUGCCUGGCAAUGGGGGUCACCUGCCCUGGCAAUGGCAAGGGUUGCACCAACCCUGCCCUACCUUGCACCAUUUGGACAUGAGGAGUUCACUGAUCCAAGGAGGCCAUUGCUCCAGCUGCUCUUUUCUUCCCCAGGAAGGAAAACCCCAUCCCGGGCUUUGCAGAAAGCAGCUUGAGCAGACGGCACUGAGGGUCCAGCUGGCACAACAGGAGCAGGAUGUGGCAGUCCUCCUCUCCCGUGCAUGGAUAAAGGAGGAGCAGCUCCUGG
Alligator mississippiensis (American alligator) is the source of this 269-nucleotide long non-coding RNA. RefSeq lists it as uncharacterized. Lineage: Eukaryota; Metazoa; Chordata; Crocodylia; Alligatoridae. The record is from RefSeq and is a predicted model, not a curated record. The transcript is spliced from 3 exons.